CCGAACAUCCUUUUGACUAAUUUUUAAUGUAAAAUAAUCAAUGUACCCUACUAAUUAAAUAAAACAAAAAAAUAAAAAUAAAGAACAAAUUGUAAUUAUAGGCCCAAACUUUUUAAAAAGUGUAAUUCGGUCCAAAUAAAUUAUUAAAAUAUUAAAAAUUUAAAGAAAUGUUCUCUCUCUUCCCUGAGCCUUCUUCCUCUGCUUAAUUGAUCGGCCAUGGCCUCUACCAGUACUGAGGAAACUGGAUUUCUUCCAAAUUUAAAUCUGUAUCUGCAUAAUUCAUUAUAAAAAAAAAAAAUUGGAUUUUCAAUUCCAGUAAAAAUAUACAAUAAACGUUCAUUUGGAAUUAAAUUAAUUCUUUUCCAAGGGGAAAAUUUCAUGUCUUCCAAUCCAGGCAAUAAACAAAGUUGAACAUUUCAAAAUCUUCCCCAAUUUCACAAUAAAGUUCAAUGGUAGAAAUAGGGAAACAUGAAAACAAACAUCAAUACUGUAAAAGGAUAUGAAAAUUAACCACGGAAGCAAUGACAAUAUGGCUUCUACAAGCAGCUCCUUUAUUUCUACUCAAAAGGGAAUUGUUGUAUGGCACUUGAACAGAAAAGUGAAAACGAAGUAUGAAAAUUCCUUCCAAAUGCACCCAGCCACCCACUUCACUAUGAUCUGGUUAAAAUAACUGAAAACAGUAAAUUUCAACCACAAAAUUAGCCGGAAAUUCGAGAAGAUAAAAGACAAUAAAAUCACAAUGAUAUUAAUCUGUUUUUGUACAAACGAACGCUUAAUUGUUGAAAACUGAGAAAGAGAGAGAAACUCUUAUAUUG
Molecule: long non-coding RNA, 815 nt
Filed under: Olea europaea subsp. europaea
Lineage: Eukaryota; Viridiplantae; Streptophyta; Magnoliopsida; Lamiales; Oleaceae
Source: RNAcentral